GAUGAACGCUGGCGGCGUGCCUAAUACAUGCAAGUCGAGCGAACAGACGAGGAGCUUGCUCCUUCGACGUUAGCGGCGGACGGGUGAGUAACACGUAGGUAACCUACCUAUAAGACUGGGAUAACUUCGGGAAACCGGAGCUAAUACCGGAUAAUAUUUCGAACCGCAUGGUUCGAUAGUGAAAGAUGGCUUUGCUAUCACUUAUAGAUGGACCUGCGCCGCAUUAGCUAGUUGGUAAGGUAACGGCUUACCAAGGCAACGAUACGUAGCCGACCUGAGAGGGUGAUAGGCCACACUGGAACUGAACCGCGGUCCAGACUCCUACGGGAGGCAGCGGUGGGGAAUCUACCGCAGUGGGCGAAAGCCUAACGGGACAACGCCGCGUGGGUGAUGAAGGUCUUCGGAUCGUAAAACUCUGUUAUUAGGGAAGAACAAACGUGUAAGUAACUGUGCACGUCUUGACGGUACCUAAUCAGAAAGCCACGGCUAACUACGUG
This 497-nucleotide ribosomal RNA is filed under the name uncultured bacterium. RNAcentral's name for it is "partial 16S ribosomal RNA". It matches the Rfam family "Bacterial small subunit ribosomal RNA", at positions 28 to 507 of the family's 1533-position model. The record is from RNAcentral.